GGAGCGACUUCCCAUAGUUUUAUCAUUUUUAUUUAGUAGGGUCUUCUUCUGCUCAAUGUAAGAUCGAGCCGAGGUCGUUUGUUUUCACUUCUUUUGUUUUGUUGAAGUCAUUAUUUUUUAUUGAUGAGAUUUUGAUAUUGUGAUGAGUUGAAUUUAUAACUCUUUUGUAGCGUUAUGGAAGUUGGAGUUUUGAGACUAUAUGCCUUGAGUUGCAAUUG
This 218-nucleotide long non-coding RNA is filed under the name Lathyrus oleraceus (garden pea). RNAcentral describes it as "Pisum sativum (pea) long non-coding RNA (PSAT_LNC015945)". The record is from RNAcentral. Lineage: Eukaryota; Viridiplantae; Streptophyta; Magnoliopsida; Fabales; Fabaceae.